CGGCAUGCCUAAGACAUGCAAGUCGAACGAAGUGACCCAAUGAAGAAUGCGAGCUUGCUCAAAUUCGGAUUUGGUUUACCACUUAGUGGCGCAAGGGUGAGUAACACGUGGGUAAUCUACCUUCGAGUCUGGAAUAACAGUUAGAAAUGAUUGCUAAUGCCGGAUGAAAUUGGGAACGAAAUUUCAUUCUUUAUUAAAAGGAGCCUUUAAAGCUUCGCUUGAAGAUGAGCCUGCGACGUAUUAGCUAGUUGGUGGGGUAAGGGCCUACCAAGGCAACGAUGCGUAGCCGACCUGAGAGGGUGAUCGGCCACACUGGGACUGAGACACGGCCCAGACUCCUACGGGAGACAGCAGUUAGGAAUAUUCGUCAAUGGGGGAAACCCUGAACGAGCAAUGCCGCGUGAAGGAUGACGGUCCUAUGGAUUGUAAACUUCUGUUGUUAGGGAAGAACGACUAGUGUAGGAAAUGACACUAGAGUGACGGUACCUUUCAAGAAAGCUCCGGCUAACUACGUG
RNAcentral lists this ribosomal RNA (515 nucleotides) under uncultured bacterium. RNAcentral's name for it is "bacterial SSU rRNA". It matches the Rfam family "Bacterial small subunit ribosomal RNA", at positions 40 to 507 of the family's 1533-position model. The record is from RNAcentral.